GCUAUUGGCUGAGCCGCAGUCAGCCUGCCCGUGGACCCGCCUCCUUCCAGCAAAACUGACAGAUUCUGAUUGAUAAUUUAAAGGCAGUCUUUCUGUUCAUCCUUCCAGUGCGCGUCUCCACCGUUUUUACACAAAGUGUUUCAGCCAGCCAGUCUUACCGCUCGACCCAAGCGGACACCAAGCUCCCAGCGGUACCGGGUGAAGCCUCGGUGGCGUGAAGGCAGGUGUUGAGGACUGUCUUUCUCUCUCUGCCUCAUUCUGUUGUUCUGAGUCAUGGCGACCUCUCUGCUCAGCAGGCAGCUGGUCCUCUCCCUACAGCAGAACCUCAGGCUCACUGCACCAGGCUGCAGGUAUGCGAGUAAGGCAGCAGCUAAGACUCAGAUGGAGUUUGAAUACGACGGGCCCUCCAUGAAGACCGAGGUCCCAGGACCCCGUUCCAAGGAGCUGACCAAACAGUUGGA
Long non-coding RNA from Oncorhynchus nerka (sockeye salmon), 461 nucleotides. RefSeq lists it as uncharacterized. The record is from RefSeq and is a predicted model, not a curated record. The transcript has 4 exons. NCBI's taxonomy places the organism in Eukaryota, Metazoa, Chordata, Actinopteri, Salmoniformes, Salmonidae.